Betta splendens (Siamese fighting fish) is the source of this 517-nucleotide long non-coding RNA. RefSeq lists it as uncharacterized. The transcript has 2 exons. The record is from RefSeq and is a predicted model, not a curated record. NCBI's taxonomy places the organism in Eukaryota, Metazoa, Chordata, Actinopteri, Anabantiformes, Osphronemidae.
UUCACCCUUUUGGUUUUGUGUCUUUGUUUCCUGUCUUGUGUUUCCUGUAUUAGUUUGAUUGGGUUCACCUGUCUUGUCUUGUAUUUAAGGUCUCAGUUUGUGCACAGUCUUUGUUGGUGCGUUACUCGUUACUCGUCACAUUAUGUGUUACUUGUUACAGUGCCAUCGUGCUCUGUCCAGGAGCGCAGCAGGGAGACGCAUGGAACGGGGACGAGCGAGGCUGCUUCUCUGGGCCCCCUGCCCUUAUGCUUUUUCAUUGUACUUGAGCUUCAAAAUAAAAGCCUAGUACAAAUCCAAGAGUCCUCAAAAGGGGAAGUGAGGACGCGAUCCCUUCACUGUGUGCUACAGCCACUCAGUGAGUCUCGGUGAGACUGUGACCUUUGACCUCUGACCGUCCAGCAGGACGUAGGCUACAGCUCGACUCAGGACGCCUCCUCUCUGUAUCAAGUGUCUUUUUCCAGACCUCUAACAUCUUAAUUUGCAGCCUUAGCGUGAAAUUAAAGGUGGUUUGAGCUGA